GCAGCAGUGGGGAAUCUUGCGCAAUGGACGAAAGUCUGACGCAGCGACGCCGCGUGGGUGAUGAAGGCCUUCGGGUUGUAAAGCCCUGUGGGGAGAGACGAAUAAGUGUAGCCUAAUACGUUACAUGAUGACGGUAUCUCCUUAGCAAGCACCGGCUAACUCUGUGCCAGCAGCCGCGGUAAGACAGAGGGUGCAAACGUUGUUCGGAAUUACUGGGCGUAAAGCGUGUGUAGGCGGCCACGUAAGUCGGAUGUGAAAGCCCCAGGCUCAACCUGGGAAGUGCACUCGAUACUGCGUGGCUUGAGUAUCGGAGAGGUUGGUGGAAUUCUCGGUGUAGAGGUGAAAUUCGUAGAUAUCGAGAGGAACACCGGUGGCGAAGGCGGCCAACUGGACGAAUACUGACGCUGAGACACGAAAGCGUGGGGAGCAAACAGGAUUAGA
This 441-nucleotide ribosomal RNA is filed under the name uncultured bacterium. Its description in RNAcentral is "bacterial SSU rRNA". It matches the Rfam family "Bacterial small subunit ribosomal RNA", at positions 348 to 782 of the family's 1533-position model. The record is from RNAcentral.